AGCAGCCGCGGUAAUUCCAGCUCCAAUAGCGUAUAUUAAAGUUGUUGCAGUUAAAAAGCUCGUAGUUGAAUUUCGGGAUCAGUUCGCUGGUCGUGCCUCUGGUAUGUACUGGUGUUACUGGUUCCUCCCUUCUGACGAACUGUCAUGUCAUUAAUUUGGUGUGGCGGGGAAUCAGGACUGUUACUUUGAAAAAAUUAGAGUGUUUAAAGCAGGCUCGCGCUUGAAUACAUUAGCAUGGAAUAAUGAAAUAGGACGUUCGAUCCUAUUUUGUUGGUUUCUAGGAUUGACGUAAUGAUUAAUAGGGAUAGUUGGGGGCAUUAGUAUUCAAUUGUCAGAGGUGAAAUUCUUGGAUUUAUUGAAGACUAACUACUGCGAAAGCAUUUGCCAAGGAUGUUUUCAUUAAUCAAGAACGAAAGUUAGGGGAUCGAAGACGAUCAGAUACCGUCGUAGUCUUAACCAUAAACUAUGCCGACUAGGGAUCGGAUGAUGUUAAUUUUUAAUUGACUCAUUCGGCGCCUUA
This 520-nucleotide ribosomal RNA is filed under the name uncultured Glomus. RNAcentral's name for it is "SSU rRNA". It matches the Rfam family "Eukaryotic small subunit ribosomal RNA", at positions 569 to 1090 of the family's 1831-position model. Lineage: Eukaryota; Fungi; Glomeromycota; Glomeromycetes; Glomerales; Glomeraceae. The record is from RNAcentral.